AUGUAGCGCAAUACAUAGCGUGUUGGUCUUCCCAUCCAAAAUCGUGGGUUCGAAUCCGACCGGGGAUG
Molecule: non-coding RNA, 68 nt
Organism: Trichonephila clavata
Lineage: Eukaryota; Metazoa; Arthropoda; Arachnida; Araneae; Nephilidae
Source: the annotation of a GenBank genome assembly